CACCCUAUAGUAAUUCGCAACCUUCGCAACAGCUAAUUAAUAUGGGAUGGAAAGAAAGGGACUUUGUAAAAAAAAAAGAAAGAAAAUCACUCUGCAAGCCCAAAAAAUCAUUCCCCGAGUUUUCGUCGUUCGUUGUUUACCUGUCAGGCCAUCACCCCGUUUGAACACACUUUAAACGUGUUUUUUGGUGUCGUGUGACAUUGAAAUGACACACCGUAUGCUCGGGGAAAAUGGCGACCCCCGAGUCCAUGCCCCGACCCCCGAGUUUUAGUUACCCCCGUCGGCCGUUGCCAAUUGAUAGCUGUCAGAAGCCUUUGAUUAUGUUCUAUUCAAGCUUAUUUUCAUGGGUGAUACUAUGAAAGUUUUCUUCGUAAAUUUUUUAUUUGUGUUUCCUUUGAUGAUCUAGACAACUGUCGUUUGUCAUUUGUUUUCAAAUUAAUAAUUAUGUUUGUGAAGCAGACGAUAUGUUUUCAUUUCUAAUAAGAAACUUGGUGUUUGCUUGUGCUUGGUCUGUUAUUGUUCCUAAUUUGGAAAAGUAAGAAUUUUUUUUUUGUGUGCUAGACUAGAACAAAUAUUUUUAUAUAAUUAUGUUUCUUAUUGUAGGUAUUCCUUAAACUUCUUGGUUAUCAGCUCUAACCAAGUUUUCACAUUUAAGACUUUUUGACUAAAAAGAUGUUUUUCACUGGAGGAGCUGGGACUGGGUACAUCAGAAGCCCCUGUGUAGUUGAGCUGUUAGAACUUUAUUUCUUGCGAGAACAGAUCCUCCAGAAACUGCAUCUUCAACUGUUCAACAGCAGAUCUGUCAACUUCAGGUUGAGCUGCAGCUGGCCUUCCCUUUACAGCUAAUAUUGGCUGCUUCUGGGAGUGAUAGCAUUCAGCUAAGGCUUCAGCCAACUAAUAAAAGGAAUAACCUUAACAUUGCCACGGAAUCAGUCAUUGCAAAGAUUUCACUAUACAAUAGCGCCGAAAUUAACGGUGAAGAAGUUAAAUAUAAAAAACAGAGCUGAGAAACACUCAAUUGAUAAUUCUCCCAGCAAAGAUUCAUCGAGUAGUUCAUUCAGGGCUAAGAAAGAGAAGUCAAAGUUGGAGAAGGAGCUGUUGUCUUCUGUGGUCUCUGCAAUCAAGCUUAUGUCUCAUGUUGAGUCAGCUUACAAAGUUAGGGAAGUUGAAACAUACACCAAGCAAGUAGAAAAGUUUGAGUUGCACAUUCAUGAGUUCACACUCUAAGUGGAAGAGCUCAACAGCACUAUUAUCGACAUCAGCAGCCACAAAACUCGUUUGAAAACAUUGAACUGACCAAGGAAGUACGAGAGCUGAAAUUCAGCUACGAAAACAUCAGCUAUUUGAAAAGCAACUCAGCUCAAGCCAAACAAAUUCGAAGAUCUGCGUCGUCGCUUUGAAGACAAAAAACGCGUAAAAACUAAUAAGAGAAGAAAGCGUAAAUCUCCACCGAUGGCACAAAAAAAAAUUCAUUUCUGUUCUCUUGAAGCGCCGUUCCCCUUUGGAAGGUAAUUUGCACUCAGUCAAAAUUGAGCUGGAGUCGAUCCGCGUUCAGCUGGAAGAGGAAGCGGAAGCUUGCUUGGAUUUGGAACGUCAGCUCUCCAAAGUCAACCAGGAUUGUCUGUCUUGGAAAUCCAAGUACGAACAUGCCUGCACUUUUCACACCGAAGAGAUCGAAGAAAUCAGGCGCAAAUUUCACAUCCAGGUGACUUAACUGGAAAAACAGAUCAGCGCUCUGAUCUCCAAAUGCUCAGGUUUGGAGAAGAGCACGUUACGUUUACAGAAUGAGGUAGACGUUCUCAUCAUCGAUUUGAAGAAGGCUAAUAGCACCGCUCGAGAGAUGCAGAAGCGCAGCAAGCAACUGGAGCUCAUCAACAUUGAAUUCAAAUCCAAGUUGGAUAAGAUUGAGCUGAGUGUCCUAUACGACGCUUCCCAGAGAGAUAAUCAUAACAAGACGACAGAGAUUUCCCGUUUGACUCACGAACUGAACAAAACUCGCGAACGGAAAGAUCAGCUUACCCGUGAAAACAAGAAAUUGGAUGAGAUCGCUGAGCUGAAGAGCCAGUACUCUGAAGUCUGAACUCAACAGCAGAUUCUAUUAGUUAGAAAUUGAAUAUCGCCGUCUAGAAAACGAACUUGAAGAGUUGCGUUAACCAUACAAAGAAAUCCAGAGACUGCUCGUAAAGUUGAAGAACAUCGCGUUCGUCGCAUGGAAUUGCAGCUUAGAUGAACCAAUCAAUCUCGAUAUGGAAAGCCGACUUACCGAUGAGGAGGAAGAUCUCAAGUCUAUAAAGAAGCAAAUGUCAGCAAAUGUCUAUAUCGAAAUCUUGUCCAUGCGGAAACCAAGUUGAAAACCGAAAUCCAGCGCAUUCGGAAGAAGAUGAUAAUCACAAUCACCGAGUUGGAAAUGGGGGGUAACUUAAUCUCGGGGGUCGGGGAACUAAAGCUCGGGGAAAAUGGCUACGACCGAGUCCCCGUUCAAACGGAGUGACGGGUAAACAAAAAAAGAUUAAAACUCGGGGAAUUGACUCGGGGACGGGGAGUCGGGGAAUGAUUUUUUUGGGCUGACGGAGUAUGGCACGUUAGGCCUAUUUGGCUCACAUCUAUUUGAUGGAAAAUACCGAAAAAUAUUUGUAAAAUCCGUUAAAAUCAAAUUGCAAUGAUAA
Molecule: unclassified non-coding RNA, 2666 nt
Filed under: Daphnia pulicaria
Lineage: Eukaryota; Metazoa; Arthropoda; Branchiopoda; Diplostraca; Daphniidae
Description: uncharacterized LOC124341864, transcript variant X1
Source: RNAcentral